AGCCUUGAGGCUGCGGUGAAUCUCGUGUUUAGUGGGUGUCGUACCUUUUGCAUCAUGAUUCCUUGAAGGAGUUCGGUUAGUCUGGUGUCUCGAAAGACGGUGAUUCGGGUCUGCCUUGUUUUUAGAACUUAGGGGUUGGUGGGUAACCAAAGUUGAAAGGUAGGUCCGGAGGUGACAUGCAUUACGUACCGUCUCAUAGCUAGUUGCCGGAGUCGAGUUUUCAAACUAUGGCCCCGUUGCUUGGAUGUGGCGGGGUUGUCAAGAGGGCUUUUUGGGUUGAUGAGUUGGCUAGGUUAGAGGUACCUUGUUUUAGCUUCGUGUUAUGACGAUUGACUCGGAUUGUUUGGGCUUUUUGGUUUAGUGCUCUGGGCUUAGGCGUAACGGUCUGUUUUCAAGUGUGGGGUAAUGAGUAGUUUGAAUGGCUUCCUUUUUUCUCGGAGAUCUCCGGUCUGUUUCUCAAAAACAUUUCCAUCAGGAAGGUUUGAUGGUAGUGCCUGCCCGAUGUUUGCAAUAAAUGGCCGCAGUAUCUUGACUGUGCUAAGGUAGCAUAAUCAGUUGCCUUGUAAUUGAAGGAUUGUUUGAACGGUUUGACCAGGGGGGUGUGUCUAGAUGGGGGCCAUCUCUGAAAUUAGGUGGCUGGUGCAGAUCCCAGCGAUUUUUAAUCAGACGGAAAGACCCCGAGAGCUUUGGCAGUUUUGUGCUUACU
Molecule: ribosomal RNA, 706 nt
Filed under: Paragonimus westermani
Lineage: Eukaryota; Metazoa; Platyhelminthes; Trematoda; Plagiorchiida; Troglotrematidae
Description: partial large subunit ribosomal RNA
Rfam family: Archaeal large subunit ribosomal RNA (bases 443-598)
Source: RNAcentral